GCCGACUUAGCUCAGCUGGUAGAGCAACUGAUUUGUAAUCAGUAGGUCGCGGAUUCGACUUCUGCAGUCGGCA
Transfer RNA from Brochothrix campestris FSL F6-1037, 73 nucleotides. It matches the Rfam family "tRNA". From Rfam's summary of the family: Transfer RNA (tRNA) molecules are approximately 80 nucleotides in length. Their secondary structure includes four short double-helical elements and three loops (D, anti-codon, and T loops). The record is from Rfam. NCBI's taxonomy places the organism in Bacteria, Bacillati, Bacillota, Bacilli, Caryophanales, Listeriaceae.